UACGGGGGGGGGCAAGCGUUACUCGGAAUUACUGGGCGUAAAGCGUGCGUAGGUGGUCGUUUAAGUCUGUUGUGAAAGCCCUGGGCUCAACCUGGGAACUGCAGUGGAAACUGGACGACUAGAGUGUGGUAGAGGGUAGCGGAAUUCCCGGUGUAGCAGUGAAAUGCGUAGAGAUCGGGAGGAACAUCCAUGGCGAAGGCAGCUACCUGGACCAACACUGACACUGAGGCACGAAAGCGUGGGGAGCAAACAGG
RNAcentral lists this ribosomal RNA (254 nucleotides) under uncultured bacterium. RNAcentral describes it as "partial 16S ribosomal RNA". It matches the Rfam family "Bacterial small subunit ribosomal RNA", at positions 524 to 776 of the family's 1533-position model. The record is from RNAcentral.